CACACCGCCCGUCACACCACGAAAGUCAAUUGCACCAGAAGUCGCUGUGCUAACCGUAAGGGGGCAGGCGCCCAAGGUGCGGUCGAUGAUUGGGGUG
RNAcentral lists this ribosomal RNA (97 nucleotides) under uncultured bacterium. RNAcentral describes it as "partial 16S ribosomal RNA". It matches the Rfam family "Bacterial small subunit ribosomal RNA", at positions 1386 to 1482 of the family's 1533-position model. The record is from RNAcentral.